UACGUAGGGUGCGAGCGUUAAUCGGAAUUACUGGGCGUAAAGCGUGCGUAGGCGGUUCUCCAAGUCCGUUGUGAAAGCCCCGGGCUCAACCUGGGAAUGGCAGUGGAAACUAGGGGACUGGAAUCUGGCAGAGGGGGGUGGAAUGCCGCGUGUAGCAGUGAAAUGCGUAGAGAUGCGGCGGAACACCGAUGGCGAAGGCAGCCCCCUGGGAUGACACUGACGCUCAUGCACGAAAGCGUGGGGAGCAAACAGG
RNAcentral lists this ribosomal RNA (253 nucleotides) under uncultured bacterium. RNAcentral describes it as "partial 16S ribosomal RNA". It matches the Rfam family "Bacterial small subunit ribosomal RNA", at positions 524 to 776 of the family's 1533-position model. The record is from RNAcentral.